Molecule: ribosomal RNA, 628 nt
Filed under: uncultured cyanobacterium
Lineage: Bacteria; Bacillati; Cyanobacteriota
Description: bacterial SSU rRNA
Rfam family: Bacterial small subunit ribosomal RNA
Source: RNAcentral
ACUGGGACUGAGACACGGCCCAGACUCCUACGGGAGGCAGCAGUGGGGAAUUUUCCGCAAUGGGCGCAAGCCUGACGGAGCAAUACCGCGUGAGGGAGGAAGGCCUUUGGGUUGUAAACCUCUUUUCUUAAGGAAGAAGAUCUGACGGUACUUAAGGAAUCAGCAUCGGCUAACUCCGUGCCAGCAGCCGCGGUAAUACGGAGGAUGCAAGCGUUAUCCGGAAUUAUUGGGCGUAAAGCGUCCGCAGGCGGCAUUAUAAGCCUGCUGUCAAAGACCGCAGCUCAACUGCGGAAAGGCAGUGGAAACUGUAAAGCUAGAGUACGGUAGGGGUAGAGGGAAUUCCCAGUGUAGCGGUGAAAUGCGUAGAUAUUGGGAAGAACACCAGUGGCGAAAGCGCUCUACUGGGCCGUAACUGACGCUCAGGGACGAAAGCUAGGGGAGCGAAAGGGAUUAGAUACCCCUGUAGUCCUAGCUGUAAACGAUGGAUACUAGGCGUAGCUUGUAUCGACCCGAGCUGUGCCGAAGCUAACGCGUUAAGUAUCCCGCCUGGGGAUUACGCACGCAAGUGUGAAACUCAACGGAAUUGACGGGGGCCCGCACAAGCGGUGGAGUAUGUGGUUUAAUUCGA